UGACGCUGGCGGCAUGCCCUACACGAGUACAGUCGAACGGUAACAGGCCUUCGGAUGCUGACGAGUGGCGAACGGGUGAGUAAUACAUCGGAACGUGCCCGAGAGUGGGGGAUAACGAAGCGAAAGCUUUGCUAAUACCGCAUACGAUCUCAGGAUGAAAGCAGGGGACCGCAAGGCCUUGCGCUCACGGAGCGGCCGAUGGCAGAUUAGGUAGUUGGUGGGAUAAAAGCUUACCAAGCCGACGAUCUGUAGCUGGUCUGAGAGGACGACCAGCCACACUGGGACUGAGACACGGCCCAGACUCCUACGGGAGGCAGCAGUGGGGAAUUCUUGGACAAUGGGCGCAAGCCUGAUCCAGCCAUGCCGCGUGCAGGAUGAAGGCCUUCGGGUUGUAAACUGCUUUUGUACGGAACGAAAAGACUCUGGUUAAUACCUGGGGUCCAUGACGGUACCGUAAGAAUAAGCACCGGCUAACUACGUGCCAGCAGCCGCGGUAAUACGUAGGGUGCG
This 510-nucleotide ribosomal RNA is filed under the name uncultured bacterium. Its description in RNAcentral is "bacterial SSU rRNA". It matches the Rfam family "Bacterial small subunit ribosomal RNA", at positions 33 to 536 of the family's 1533-position model. The record is from RNAcentral.